AUUGAACGCUGGCGGCAUGCUUUACACAUGCAAGUCGAACGGCAGCGCGGGCUUCGGCCUGGCGGCGAGUGGCGAACGGGUGAGUAAUGCAUCGGAACGUGCCCAGUAGUGGGGGAUAGCCCGGCGAAAGCCGGAUUAAUACCGCAUACGACCUGAGGGUGAAAGCGGGGGACCGAAAGGCCUCGCGCUAUUGGAGCUGCCGAUGUCGGAUUAGCUAGUUGGUGGGGUAAAGGCUUACCAAGGCGACGAUCCGUAGCUGGUCUGAGAGGACGACCAGCCACACUGGGACUGAGACACGGCCCAGACUCCUACGGGAGGAAGCAGUGGGGAAUUUUGGACAAUGGGGGCAACCCUGAUCCAGCCAUGCCGCGUGCGAGAAGAAGGCCUUCGGGUUGUAAACCGCUUUUGUUCGGGAAGAAAUCCUCUGGGCUAAUACCCCGGGGGGAUGACGGUACCGGAAGAAUAAGCACCGGCUAACUACGUG
RNAcentral lists this ribosomal RNA (484 nucleotides) under uncultured bacterium. Its description in RNAcentral is "partial 16S ribosomal RNA". It matches the Rfam family "Bacterial small subunit ribosomal RNA", at positions 29 to 507 of the family's 1533-position model. The record is from RNAcentral.